ACGCUCGACACCUACAGGAGGCAGCAGUGGGGAAUAUUGCACAAUGGGGGAAACCCUGAUGCAGCGACGCCGCGUGGAGGAAGAAGGUCUUCGGAUUGUAAACUCCUGUUGUUGGGGAAAAAGAGGAUGGUACCCAACAAGGAAGUGACGGCUAACUACGUGCCGGCAGCCGCGGUAAUCUGAGCGGGCUGGCAAGGC
Molecule: ribosomal RNA, 198 nt
Filed under: uncultured bacterium
Lineage: Bacteria
Description: partial 16S ribosomal RNA
Rfam family: Bacterial small subunit ribosomal RNA
Source: RNAcentral